Molecule: non-coding RNA, 235 nt
Organism: Pelobates cultripes (western spadefoot toad)
Lineage: Eukaryota; Metazoa; Chordata; Amphibia; Anura; Pelobatidae
Source: the annotation of a GenBank genome assembly
CUGGUUACCUGUUCCUAGUCCCAACAACCACUCAAUUAACCCCUGCAAUCCCUUCUACACUAACCCCCUUAGUACACACUUUACUGCCACCACUAAGACUUUCAAACCCAGGCGUCUUAGGUUACCCCACACACAGGAGAAUUAUAGUAUCACAGUUCUACUUUUACUGAUAAACCAUAUACAGUUAACCCUUUUUGGUAACGUGUUUACCUGAGCUUUCCUCUGGAGAGUGAAG